CCUACGGGUGGCAGCAGUGAGGAAUAUUGGUCAAUGGGCGCGAGCCUGAACCAGCCAAGUAGCGUGAAGGAUGACUGCCCUACGGGUUGUAAACUUUUUUUAUAAAGGAAUAAAGUGUAGCACGUGUGCCUUUUUGUAUGUACUUUAUGAAUAAGGGUCGGCUAACGCCGUGCCAGCAGCCGCGGUAAUACGGAGGAUCCGAGCGUUAUCCGGAUUUGUUGGGUUUAAAGGGAGCGUCGAUGGGUUGUUAAGUCAGUUGUGAAAGUUUGCGGCUCAACCGUAAAAUUGCAAUUGAUACUGGCAGGCUUGAGUACAGUUGAGGUGGGCAGAAUUCGUGGUGUAGCGGUGAAAUGCUUAGAUAUCACGAAGAAUUCCGAUUGCGAAGGCAGCUUACUAAACUGCGACUGACAUUGAUGCUCGAAAGUGUGGGUAUCAAACAGGAUUAGAUACCCUUGUAGUC
Molecule: ribosomal RNA, 460 nt
Filed under: uncultured bacterium
Lineage: Bacteria
Description: partial 16S ribosomal RNA
Rfam family: Bacterial small subunit ribosomal RNA
Source: RNAcentral